AGUGAACGCUGGCGGUAGGCUUAACACAUGCAAGUCGAACGGCAGCACAGUAAGAGCUUGCUCUUACGGGUGGCGAGUGGCGGAAGGGUGAGGAAUACAUCGGAAUCUACUUUUUCGUGGGGGAUAACGUAGGGAAACUUACGCUAAUACCGCAUACGACCUACGGGUGAAAGCAGGGGAUCUUCGGACCUUGCGCGAUUGAAUGAGCCGAUGUCGGAUUAGCUAGUUGGCGGGGUAAAGGCCCACCAAGGCGACGAUCCGUAGCUGGUCUGAGAGGAUGAUCAGCCACACUGGAACUGAGACACGGUCCAGACUCCUACGGGAGGCAGCAGUGGGGAAUAUUGGACAAUGGGCGCAAGCCUGAUCCAGCCAUACCGCGUGGGUGAAGAAGGCCUUCGGGUUGUAAAGCCCUUUUGUUGGGAAAGAAAAGCAGCAGGUUAAUACCCCGCUGUUCUGACGGUACCCAAAGAAUAAGCACCGGCUAACUUCGUG
This 492-nucleotide ribosomal RNA is filed under the name uncultured bacterium. RNAcentral's name for it is "partial 16S ribosomal RNA". It matches the Rfam family "Bacterial small subunit ribosomal RNA", at positions 29 to 507 of the family's 1533-position model. The record is from RNAcentral.